Molecule: ribosomal RNA, 499 nt
Filed under: uncultured bacterium
Lineage: Bacteria
Description: partial 16S ribosomal RNA
Rfam family: Bacterial small subunit ribosomal RNA
Source: RNAcentral
GACGAACGCUGGCGGCGUGCUUAACACAUGCAAGUCGAACGGGCCCGCCCCUGUUUUUGGGGGUGGGUUGAGUGGCGAACGGGUGAGUAUCACGUGAGUAACCUGCCCCCUGCUCCUGGAUAACUGCUUGAAAGGGCGGCUAAUACGGGGUGUGCCGGCUGGUCCGCAUGGGCCUGGUCGGGAUAGUUUCAUCUUCGGGUGUUUCGGUGGGGGAUGGGCUCGCGGCCUAUCAGCUUGUUGGUGGGGUGAUGGCCCACCAAGGCGGUGACGGGUAGCCGGCCUGAGAGGGUGGGCGGCCACACUGGGAGUGAGACACGGCACAGACUCAUGCGGGAGGCAGCAGUGGGGGGUAUUGCACAAUGGGCGGAAGCCUGAAGCAGCGACGUCGCGUGAGGGAUGGAGGCCUUCGGGUUGUGAACCUCUUUCUCCGGUGGUGAAGGCCCUGUCCGUUGCGGCGGGGUUGACGGUAGCCGGGUAUGAAGCGCCGGCUAACUACGUG